GACGAACGCUGGCGGCGUGCCUAAUACAUGCAAGUAGAACGCACAGUUUAUACCGUAGCUUGCUACACCAUAGACUGUGAGUUGCGAACGGGUGAGUAACGCGUAGGUAACCUGCCUGGUAGCGGGGGAUAACUAUUGGAAACGAUAGCUAAUACCGCAUAAUAUUAAUUAUUGCAUGAUAAUUAAUUGAAAGGUGCAAUUGCACCACUACCAGAUGGACCUGCGUUGUAUUAGCUAGUAGGUGAGGUAACGGCUCACCUAGGCGACGAUACAUAGCCGACCUGAGAGGGUGAUCGGCCACACUGGGACUGAGGCACGGCCCAGACUCCUACGGGAGGCAGCAGUAGGGAAUCUUCGGCAAUGGACGAAAGUCUGACCGAGCAACGCCGCGUGAGUGAAGAAGGUUUUCGGAUCGUAAGGCUCUGUUGUAAGAGAAGAACGGGUGUGAGAGUGGAAAGUUCACACUGUGACGGUAUCUUACCAGAAAGGGACGGCUAACUACGUG
RNAcentral lists this ribosomal RNA (505 nucleotides) under uncultured bacterium. Its description in RNAcentral is "partial 16S ribosomal RNA". It matches the Rfam family "Bacterial small subunit ribosomal RNA", at positions 28 to 507 of the family's 1533-position model. The record is from RNAcentral.